Transfer RNA from Ovis aries (sheep), 69 nucleotides. It matches the Rfam family "tRNA". From Rfam's summary of the family: Transfer RNA (tRNA) molecules are approximately 80 nucleotides in length. NCBI's taxonomy places the organism in Eukaryota, Metazoa, Chordata, Mammalia, Artiodactyla, Bovidae. The record is from Rfam.
CCUGGUGGCUCAGACGGUAAAGUGUCUGCCUGCAAUGCGGGAGACCCGGGUUCGAUUCCUGGGUCAGGA